Molecule: ribosomal RNA, 301 nt
Filed under: uncultured bacterium
Lineage: Bacteria
Description: partial 16S ribosomal RNA
Rfam family: Bacterial small subunit ribosomal RNA
Source: RNAcentral
CAGUAGCCGCGGUAAUACGAAGGGUGCAAGCGUUAAUCGGAAUUACUGGGCGUAAAGAGCUCGUUGGCGGUUUGUCGCGUCUGCUGUGAAAACCCGAGGCUCAACCUCGGGCCUGCAGUGGGUACGGGCAGACUAGAGUGCGGUAGGGGAGAUUGGAAUUCCUGGUGUAGCGGUGGAAUGCGCAGAUAUCAGGAGGAACACCGAUGGCGAAGGCAGAUCUCUGGGCCGUAACUGACGCUGAGGAGCGAAAGCAUGGGGAGCGAACAGGAUUAGAUACCCCCGUAGUCCCUGUCUCUUAUAA